AUACGGAGGGUCCAAGCGUUAUCCGGAUUCAUUGGGUUUAAAGGGUCCGCAGGCGGGAAAAUAAGUCAGUGGUGAAAGCCUACAGCUCAACUGUAGAACUGCCAUUGAUACUGUUUUUCUUGAGUAUAGAUGAAGUGGGCGGAAUAUAUCAUGUAGCGGUGAAAUGCAUAGAUAUGAUAUAGAACACCGAUUGCGAAGGCAGCUCACUAAACUAUUACUGACGCUCAGGGACGAAGCGUGGGGAGCGAACAGGAUUAGAUACCCCAGUAGUCC
This 273-nucleotide ribosomal RNA is filed under the name uncultured bacterium. RNAcentral's name for it is "partial 16S ribosomal RNA". It matches the Rfam family "Bacterial small subunit ribosomal RNA", at positions 523 to 796 of the family's 1533-position model. The record is from RNAcentral.